GAUGAACGCUGGCGGCGUGCCUAAUACAUGCAAGUCGAGCGAACAGACGAGGAGCUUGCUCCUCUGACGUUAGCGGCGGACGGGUGAGUAACACGUGGAUAACCUACCUAUAAGACUGGGAUAACUUCGGGAAACCGGAGCUAAUACCGGAUAAUAUAUUGAACCGCAUGGUUCAAUAGUGAAAGACGGUUUUGCUGUCACUUAUAGAUGGAUCCGCGCCGCAUUAGCUAGUUUGUAAGGUAACGGCUUACCAAGGCGACGAUGCGUAGCCGACCUGAGAGGGUGAUCGGCCACACUGGAACUGAGACUCGGUCCAGACUCCUACGGGAGGCAGCAGUAGGGAAUCUUCCGCAAUGGGCGAAAGCCUGACGGAGCAACGCCGCGUGAGUGAUGAAGGUCUUCGGAUCGUAAAACUCUGUUAUUAGGGAAGAACAAAUGUGUAAGUAACUAUGCACGUCUUGACGGUACCUAAUCAGAAAGCCACGGCUAACUACGUG
Molecule: ribosomal RNA, 497 nt
Filed under: uncultured bacterium
Lineage: Bacteria
Description: partial 16S ribosomal RNA
Rfam family: Bacterial small subunit ribosomal RNA
Source: RNAcentral